RNAcentral lists this ribosomal RNA (473 nucleotides) under Paenibacillus mobilis. Its description in RNAcentral is "bacterial SSU rRNA". The record is from RNAcentral. Lineage: Bacteria; Bacillati; Bacillota; Bacilli; Caryophanales; Paenibacillaceae.
CCUUNNNGGGGKKSSWGCAGUAGGGAAUCUUCCGCAAUGGGCGAAAGCCUGACGGAGCAAUGCCGCGUGAGUGAUGAAGGUUUUCGGAUCGUAAAGCUCUGUUGCCAGGGAAGAACGCUUGGGAGAGUAACUGCUCUCAAGGUGACGGUACCUGAGAAGAAAGCCCCGGCUAACUACGUGCCAGCAGCCGCGGUAAUACGUAGGGGGCAAGCGUUGUCCGGAAUUAUUGGGCGUAAAGCGCGCGCAGGCGGUCAUUUAAGUCUGGUGUUUAAUCCCGGGGCUCAACCCCGGAUCGCACUGGAAACUGGGUGACUUGAGUGCAGAAGAGGAGAGUGGAAUUCCACGUGUAGCGGUGAAAUGCGUAGAUAUGUGGAGGAACACCAGUGGCGAAGGCGACUCUCUGGGCUGUAACUGACGCUGAGGCGCGAAAGCGUGGGGAGCAAACAGGAUUAGAUACCCCCCGGGGAARUCAA